UCCCAUGUGGUCUAGUGGUCAGGAUUCCUGGUUUUCACCCAGGCGGCCCGGGUUCAAUUCCCGGUGUGGGAA
Molecule: transfer RNA, 72 nt
Filed under: Chelonia mydas (Green sea turtle)
Lineage: Eukaryota; Metazoa; Chordata; Testudines; Cheloniidae
Also listed under: 1 other name
Rfam family: tRNA
About the family: Transfer RNA (tRNA) molecules are approximately 80 nucleotides in length. Their secondary structure includes four short double-helical elements and three loops (D, anti-codon, and T loops).
Source: Rfam by way of RNAcentral